CGCUGGCGGCGUGCCUAACACAUGCAAGUCGAGCGGGGACAUGCGACGGAGACAAAGUUUUCGGAUGGAGUCGAAGAUGCAUUGUUCUAGCGGCGGACGGGUGAGUAACGCGUGAGCAACCUGUCCCUUACAGGGGGAUAACACAGCGAAAGUUGUACUAAUACCGCAUGAGACCACGGUGAGACAUCUCACAGGGGUCAAAGGAGCAAUCCGGUAAGGGGUGGGCUCGCGUCCGAUUAGAUAGUUGGUGAGGUAACGGCCCACCAAGUCGACGAUCGGUAGCCGACCUGAGAGGGUGAUCGGCCACAUUGGGACUGAGACACGGCCCAAACUCCUACGGGAGGCAGCAGUGGGGAAUAUUGGGCAAUGGGGGGAACCCUGACCCAGCAACGCCGCGUGAGGGAAGAAGGUUUUCGGAUCGUAAACCUCUGUCCUUGGUGAAGAGGAAGAGACGGUAGCCAAGGAGGAAGCCCCGGCUAACUACGUGCCAGCAGCCGCGGUAAUACGUAGGGGGCGAGCGUNGUCCGGAAUGAUUGGGCGUAAAGGGCGCG
Molecule: ribosomal RNA, 551 nt
Filed under: uncultured rumen bacterium
Lineage: Bacteria
Description: bacterial SSU rRNA
Rfam family: Bacterial small subunit ribosomal RNA
Source: RNAcentral